GCCCUUUAGACUGGGAUAACAGAGGGAAACUUCUGAUAAUACUGGAUAAGUUAGUAUAUCGCAUGAUAUGCAAAUGAAAGCUACGGCACUAAAGGAGAGCUUUGCGUCCUAUUAGCUAGUUGGUAAGGUAAGAGCUUACCAAGGCGAUGAUAGGUAGCCGGCCUGAGAGGGUGGACGGCCACAAGGGGACUGAGAUACGGCCCUUACUCCUACGGGAGGCAGCAGGA
RNAcentral lists this ribosomal RNA (227 nucleotides) under uncultured Leptotrichia sp. Its description in RNAcentral is "partial 16S ribosomal RNA". It matches the Rfam family "Bacterial small subunit ribosomal RNA", at positions 128 to 354 of the family's 1533-position model. The record is from RNAcentral. Lineage: Bacteria; Fusobacteriati; Fusobacteriota; Fusobacteriia; Fusobacteriales; Leptotrichiaceae.